UGGGGAAUAUUGGGCAAUGGGCGAAAGCCUGACCCAGCAACGCCGCGUGAAGGAAGAAGGCUUUCGGGUUGUAAACUUCUUUUGGCAGGGACGAAGAAAGUGACGGUACCUGCAGAAUAAGCUCCGGCUAACUACGUGCCAGCAGCCGCGGUAAUACGUAGGGAGCGAGCGUUAUCCGGAUUUACUGGGUGUAAAGGGCGCGUAGGCGGGAAUGCAAGUCAGAUGUGAAAUCUCCGGGCUCAACCCGGAAACUGCAUUUGAAACUGUAUUUCUUGAGUGAUGGAGAGGCAAGUGGAAUUCCUAGUGUAGCGGUGAAAUGCGUAGAUAUUAGGAGGAACACCAGUGGCGAAGGCGACUUGCUGGACAUUAACUGACGCUGAGGCGCGAAAGCGUGGGGAGCAAACA
This 405-nucleotide ribosomal RNA is filed under the name uncultured prokaryote. RNAcentral's name for it is "bacterial SSU rRNA". It matches the Rfam family "Bacterial small subunit ribosomal RNA", at positions 355 to 774 of the family's 1533-position model. The record is from RNAcentral.